CAUGUCAGCGCGCUUUGCUGACAUGGCAACAAAUCGCGCUUCAGAGGACGCGAUUUGUGUCCACGUCAACAAAGUGCGCUGACGUGG
This is a non-coding RNA of Gossypium hirsutum (cotton), 87 nucleotides long. Lineage: Eukaryota; Viridiplantae; Streptophyta; Magnoliopsida; Malvales; Malvaceae. The record is from Rfam.